Molecule: non-coding RNA, 190 nt
Organism: Phaeosphaeriaceae sp. SRC1lsM3a
Lineage: Eukaryota; Fungi; Ascomycota; Dothideomycetes; Pleosporales; Phaeosphaeriaceae
Source: the annotation of a GenBank genome assembly
GGACGCUUGGUCGAGUGGUAAGACGCUCGCACAUAGGCUGAGACAAUCCGGCUACUUGACCGUGCCGUGUAUCGAGUCGGGCUCUGCCAUUGCAAAGGCUGUUGUCGGCUCGGGGUUUCACGACCCUUCAGUCUGUAUCAGACUAGACAAGUCCUGCGAGAGGUGGUGCGUUCGAAUCGCACAGUGUCCA